GAAUAUUGCGCAAUGGGCGGAAGCCUGACGCAGCCACGCCGCGUGUGUGAUGAAGGCCUUCGGGUCGUAAAGCACUGUCGGGAGGGAAGAAUCCAUGACGGUACCUCCCAAGAAAGCGCCGGCUAACCCCGUGCCAGCAGCCGCGGUAAUACGGGGGGCGCAAGCGUUGCUCGGAACCACUGGGCGUAAAGCGUACGCAGGCGGCGCGUUAAGUCGGGUGUGAAAGCCCGGGGCUCAACCCCGGAACUGCAUUCGAUACUGGCGCGCUUGAGUACGGGAGAGGGGAGCGGAAUUCCUGGUGUAGAGGUGAAAUUCGUAGAUAUCAGGAGGAACAUCAGUGGCGAAAGCGGCUCCCUGGUCCGAUACUGACGCUCAUGUACGAAAGCGUGGGGAGCAAACAG
Molecule: ribosomal RNA, 401 nt
Filed under: uncultured bacterium
Lineage: Bacteria
Description: bacterial SSU rRNA
Rfam family: Bacterial small subunit ribosomal RNA
Source: RNAcentral